RNAcentral lists this ribosomal RNA (1463 nucleotides) under uncultured bacterium. RNAcentral describes it as "bacterial SSU rRNA". It matches the Rfam family "Bacterial small subunit ribosomal RNA". The record is from RNAcentral.
AGAGUUUGAUCCUGGCUCAGGAUGAACGCUGACAGAAUGCUUAACACAUGCAAGUCUACUUGAACUUCGGUUUGGGUGGCGGACGGGUGAGUAACGCGUAAAGAACUUGCCUCACAGUUAGGGACAACAUUUGGAAACGAAUGCUAAUACCUGAUAUUAUGAUUUUAGGGCAUCCUAAGAUUAUGAAAGCUAUAUGCACUGUGAGAGAGCUUUGCGUCCCAUUAGCUAGUUGGAGAGGUAACGGCUCACCAGGGCGAUGAUGGGUAGCCGGCCUGAGAGGGUGAACGGCCACAAGGGGACUGAGACACGGCCCUUACUCCUACGGGAGGCAGCAGUGGGGAAUAUUGGACAAUGGACCGAGAGUCUGAUCCAGCAAUUCUGUGUGCACGAUGAAGUUUUUCGGAAUGUAAAGUGCUUUCAAUUGGGAAGAAAUAAAUGACGGUACCAACAGAAGAAGUGACGGCUAAAUACGUGCCAGCAGCCGCGGUAAUACGUAUGCCACGAGCGUUAUCCGGAUUUAUUGGGCGUAAAGCGCGUCUAGGUGGUUAUGUAAGUCUGAUGUGAAAAUGCAGAGCUCAACUCUGUAUUGCGUUGGAAACUGUAUAACUAGAGUACUGGAGAGGUAAGCGGAACUACAAGUGUAGAGGUGAAAUUCGUAGAUAUUUGUAGGAAUGCCGAUGGGGAAGCCAGCUUACUGGACAGAUACUGACGCUAAAGCGCGAAAGCGUGGGUAGCAAACAGGAUUAGAUACCCUGGUAGUGCACGCUGUAAACGAUGAUUACUAGGUGUUGGGGGUCGAACCUCAGCGCCCAAGCAAACGCGAUAAGUAAUCCGCCUGGGGAGUACGUUCGCAAGAAUGAAACUCAAAGGAAUUGACGGGGACCCGCCACAAGCGGUGGAGCAUGUGGUUUAAUUCGAAGCAACGCGAAGAACCUUACCAAGUCUUGACAUGCCGUUGACAUACCCGUAACGGGGUAUUUCCUUCGGGACAACGGACACAGGUGGUGCAUGGUUGUCGUCAGCUCGUGUCGUGAGAUGUUGGGUUAAGUCCCGCAACGAGCGCAACCCUUGUCCUUAGUAGCCAGCAGUAAGAUGGGGACUCUAAGGAGACAGACGGAGAUAAUCCGGAGGAAGAUGGGGAUGACGUCAAAUCAUCAUGCCCCUUAUGAUUUGGGCUACACACGUGCUACAAUGGCGUAAACAAAGAGAAGCAAGAGUGCGAGCUUAAGCAAAUCUCAAAAAUAACGUCUCAGUUCGGAUUGCAGGCUGCAACUCGCCUGCAUGAAGCCGGAAUCGCUAGUAAUCGCAGAUCAGCAUGCUGCGGUGAAUACGUUCCCGGGUCUUGUACACACCGCCCGUCACACCAUGGGAGUCAGCAAUGCCCGAAGUCAGUGACCUAACCGCAAGGGAGGAGCUGCCGAAGGCAGGGCGGAUGACUGGGGUGAAGUCGUAACAAGGUAACC